CCUACGGGAGGCAGCAGUGGGGGAUAUUGCACAAUGGGGGGAACCCUGAUGCAGCGACGCCGCGUGGGUGAAGGAGUAUUUCGGUAUGUAAAGCCCUAUCGGCAGGGAAGAAGCAAGACGGUACCUGACUAAGACGCCCCGGCUAACUACGGGCCAGCAGCCGCGGUAAUACGUAGGGGGCGAGCGUUAUCCGGAUUCACUGGGUGUAAAGGGAGCGUAGACGGCCAGGCAAGCCAGGGGUGAAAGCCCGGGGCCCAACCCCGGGACUGCCCGUGGAACUGCAUGGCUGGAGUGCGGGAGGGGCAGGCGGAAUUCCUGGUGUAGCGGUGAAAUGCGUAGAGAUCAGGAGGAACACCGGCGGCGAAGGCGGCCUGCUGGACCGCGACUGACGUUGAGGCUCGAAAGCGUGGGGAGCGAACAGGAUUAGAUACCCCAGUAGUC
RNAcentral lists this ribosomal RNA (441 nucleotides) under uncultured bacterium. RNAcentral describes it as "partial 16S ribosomal RNA". It matches the Rfam family "Bacterial small subunit ribosomal RNA", at positions 338 to 795 of the family's 1533-position model. The record is from RNAcentral.